Centrocercus urophasianus (Greater sage-grouse) is the source of this 747-nucleotide long non-coding RNA. RefSeq lists it as uncharacterized. The record is from RefSeq and is a predicted model, not a curated record. The transcript is spliced from 2 exons. NCBI's taxonomy places the organism in Eukaryota, Metazoa, Chordata, Aves, Galliformes, Phasianidae.
UGGUAACCGUGAACAUGAACUUUUUUAUAAUUUCCCUUGCGAGAAUAGAGCCGCAUUCUUUUGCUGAGCUCUGUCCUGCUUCGGAUCUCUCUGGCUUUCAAUCCCCAUUUCAUUUGCUCUUUGUAAGGCAAUAGUGAACAAAGUGUGCGGAGGUUCGGCAUAAGCAGCCGCCUAGAACACAGAUCCGGGAUGGCAAUUUCCAGUUCCCCCGCUGGAAGGUGUGGCAUAUUGGAUUCAAAGCACUGGCGUGGCAGAUUUUCAACUUGCAACCUGGCUAAUUUCCUGCUUCUUCUGGCACCAAAAGGAGGGCGAUUCGUCUCCUGUGCAGCCAAAGCGACAGCUGUCAAAGUCGCAGGGGCUCCUGUGAGCCAGAACCUAAAAGGUAUCGUAAUCAGCCCCCGGAAAUGAGAUAAAUAGUCCUCCGACAACAACAGAACUCUCGGGUUAAAGCUGCUUUAGGAAACGGGGCUCGCACGAAUACCACUUUCCGGCGGAGAGCGUUUAAAAAUAGGAUAUUGGCUGUGUUGUAACGGGAACACGCACGGCUCGGGGUGUGCCCUCCUCCUCAGGAACCGCGGGGUUACGGCUCCGCCGUGCGCAUCGCGGCGAAUUUCAUCAGCACUAUUACUAUCCCAGCCCUGGGCCGGGAGUGAGAUUUCCGCUACUGGUAACUGCCAUGUUGAAAAAUGAACGUGGAAAUGUUUGUUUCGCGUUGUUGGCUUUUUUUUUUUUUUUUUUUCCCCUCUC